UGGUAAUUUUACUAUACAGUUUUGUAAUUUUAAUCAAUAAUUGAUCAUAAAAAUGUUUAGUAAAUUUACUAUGUAGCUUUCUUAUUGUACUUAUAAGUUUAAUUUUAGGUAAAAAUUCGAAAA
Molecule: long non-coding RNA, 123 nt
Organism: Melitaea cinxia (Glanville fritillary)
Lineage: Eukaryota; Metazoa; Arthropoda; Insecta; Lepidoptera; Nymphalidae
Exons: 5
Source: RefSeq, a predicted model, not a curated record